RNAcentral lists this non-coding RNA (78 nucleotides) under Platyophrya macrostoma. Lineage: Eukaryota; Ciliophora; Colpodea; Cyrtolophosidida; Platyophryidae. The record is from RNAcentral.
UCAGCUCCACAUCCCAACAGCUUUUGAAUUUGAAGCUGGCCAGAAUCUUAGCCCGAAGGGGGAAAUUUACUUUGUUGA